This 400-nucleotide ribosomal RNA is filed under the name uncultured bacterium. RNAcentral's name for it is "bacterial SSU rRNA". It matches the Rfam family "Bacterial small subunit ribosomal RNA", at positions 30 to 416 of the family's 1533-position model. The record is from RNAcentral.
AGUGAACGCUGGCGGCAGGCCUAACACAUGCAAGUCGAGCGGCAGCGCGUCCGACCACCCUCGGGUGGUCGGAUGGCGGCGAGCGGCGGACGGGUGAGGAAUGCAUCGGAAUCUGCCUCGUUGUGGGGGAUAACGUAGGGAAACUUACGCUAAUACCGCAUACGACCUACGGGUGAAAGUGGGGGACCUUCGGGCCUCACGCGAUGAGAUGAGCCGAUGCCGGAUUAGCUAGUUGGCGGGGUAAAGGCCCACCAAGGCGACGAUCCGUAGCUGGUCUGAGAGGAUGAUCAGCCACACUGGAACUGAGACACGAUCCAGACUCCUACGGGAGGCAGCAGUGGGGAAUAUUGGACAAUGGGGGCAACCCUGAUCCAGCCAUGCCGCGUGUGUGAAGAAGGCC